This 349-nucleotide ribosomal RNA is filed under the name bacterium. Its description in RNAcentral is "bacterial SSU rRNA". It matches the Rfam family "Bacterial small subunit ribosomal RNA", at positions 29 to 393 of the family's 1533-position model. The record is from RNAcentral.
AAUGAACGCUGGCGGCACGCCUAACACAUGCAAGUCGAACGAGAUUGUGGAGCUUGCUCCAUAAUCUAGUGGCGGACGGGUGAGUAACGCGUGGGAAUCUACCUUUCGGUGGGGGAUAACUCCUGGAAACAGGGGCUAAUACCGCAUACACUCUACGGAGAAAAGAUUUAUUGCCGAAAGAUGAUCCUGCGUUGGAUUAGCUAGUUGGUGAGGUAAAGGCUCACCAAGGCGACGAUCCAUAGCUGGUCUGAGAGGAUGAUCAGCCACAUUGGGACUGAGACACGGCCCAGACUCCUACGGGAGGCAGCAGUAAGGAAUAUUGGACAAUGGGGGGAACCCUGAUCCAGCG